Ictidomys tridecemlineatus (thirteen-lined ground squirrel) is the source of this 69-nucleotide non-coding RNA. NCBI's taxonomy places the organism in Eukaryota, Metazoa, Chordata, Mammalia, Rodentia, Sciuridae. The record is from Rfam.
GGGGUUGUGGCUCAGUGGUAGAGCGCUUGCCUAGCACGUGUGAGGCACAGAAUUCGAUUCUUAGCACCA